GGAUUAGGCAUGCAAGUCGAACGUGAAGGGUUUCGCAAGAGACCUUGUAAAGUGGCGGAAGGGUGAGUAAUGCAUAGAUAACUUGCCUCUGAGAAGGGAAUAACCAUUUGAAAGGAUGGCUAACACCCUAUGAGACCACGGAUCGCAUGGUCUGUGCUUAGAGAUGGGGACCCGCAAGGGCCUUUCGCUCAGAGAGAGGUUUAUGUCCUAUUAGCUAGUUGGUGAGGUAACUGCUCACCAAGGCAAUGAUGGGUAGCCGACCUGAGAGGGUGACCGGCCACACUGGGACUGAGACACUGCCCAGACUCCUACGGGAGGCUGCAGUCGAGAAUCUUCCGCAAUGCGCGAAAGCGUGACGGAGCGACGCCGCGUGGGUGAUGAAGGCCUUCGGGUUGUAAAGCCCUGUUAACUGGGAAGAAUGGCAACUGGUUAAUAGCCUUUUGCUUGACGUAACCAGUAGAGGAAGCACCGGCUAAAUACGUGCCAGCAGCCGCGGUAAUACGUAUGGUGCAAACGUUGUUCGGAAUUACUGGGCAUAAAGAGCACGUAGGCGGUUGGGCAAGUCCGGUGUGAAACCCCUCGGCUUAACUGAGGAACUGCAUUGGAAACUGCUUGACUAGAGUGCAGGAGGGGAGAGUGGAAUUCCAGGUGGAGCGGUGAAAUGCGUAGAUAUCUGGAGGAACGCCGGUGGCGAAAGCGACUCUCUGGUCUGCAACUGACGCUGAGGUGCGAAAGCUAGGGGAGCAAACGGGAUUAGAUACCCCGGUAGUCCUAGCCCUAAACGAUGGGCACUAAGUAGAGGGGUUUU
This 808-nucleotide ribosomal RNA is filed under the name uncultured Planctomycetota bacterium. RNAcentral describes it as "bacterial SSU rRNA". It matches the Rfam family "Bacterial small subunit ribosomal RNA", at positions 46 to 832 of the family's 1533-position model. Lineage: Bacteria; Pseudomonadati; Planctomycetota. The record is from RNAcentral.